AGGUAACAUUGCCUUCUACUAGGGGAUAACAGUUGGAAACGACNGCUAAUACCCUAUAUUCCUUAUUAGCACAAGUGUGUAAGGGAAAGAUUCAUUGGUAGAAGAUUGGCCUAUAUUGUAUCAGCUAGUUGGUAGUGUAAUGGACUACCAAGGCUAUGACGCAUAACUGGUUUGAGAGGAUGAUCAGUCACACUGGAACUGAGACACGGUCCAGACUCCUACGGGAGGCAGCAGUGGGGAAUAUUGCACAAUGGGCGAAAGCCUGAUGCAGCAACGCCGCGUGGAGGAUGACACAUUUCGGUGCGUAAACUCCUUUUAUAUGGGAAGAUAAUGACGGUACCAUAUGAAUAAGCACCGGCUAACUCCGUGC
This 370-nucleotide ribosomal RNA is filed under the name uncultured bacterium. RNAcentral describes it as "bacterial SSU rRNA". It matches the Rfam family "Bacterial small subunit ribosomal RNA", at positions 119 to 508 of the family's 1533-position model. The record is from RNAcentral.